AGGACGAACGCUGGCGGCGUGGCUUAAACACAUGCGAGUCGAACGGAAAGGCCCUGCGUUUUGUGGGGGUGCUCGAGUGGCGAACGGGUGAGUAACACGUGAGUAACCUGCCCUUGACUUUGGGAUAACUUCAGGAAACUGGGGCUAAUACCGGGAUAGGAGCUCCUGCUGCAUGGUGGGGGUUGGAAAGUUUCGGCGGUUGGGGAUGGACUCGCGGCUUAUCAGCUUGUUGGUGGGGUAGUGGCUUACCAAGGCUUUGACGGGUAGCCGGCCUGAGAGGGUGACCGGCCACAUUGGGACUGAGAUACGGCCCAGACUCCUACGGGAGGCAGCAGUGGGGAAUAUUGCACAAUGGGCGGAAGCCUGAUGCAGCAACGCCGCGUGCGGGAUGACGGCCUUCGGGUUGUAAACCGCUUUCGCCUGUGACGAAGCGUGAGUGACGGUAAUGGGUAAAGAAGCACCGGCUAACUACGUG
RNAcentral lists this ribosomal RNA (475 nucleotides) under uncultured bacterium. RNAcentral describes it as "bacterial SSU rRNA". It matches the Rfam family "Bacterial small subunit ribosomal RNA", at positions 26 to 507 of the family's 1533-position model. The record is from RNAcentral.